Long non-coding RNA from Chinchilla lanigera (long-tailed chinchilla), 408 nucleotides. RefSeq lists it as uncharacterized. The record is from RefSeq and is a predicted model, not a curated record. Lineage: Eukaryota; Metazoa; Chordata; Mammalia; Rodentia; Chinchillidae. The transcript is spliced from 4 exons.
AAAAAAUGGAAAUGAUGACCAUGAAGCAUAGAUGAUUUCAUUUGCAGUUCAUCAUUUUCCAAAGAUCACUUCUGAAUGAUGUGAACAAUGAAAGAGAGAUCAGAAUUGACCCAUGAGAGUAAGAAAAUGCGUACAAUAAGUUCUAAGGAAGAACAAGAAAUCAAACAAACAAAAAACGUGACUGAGAUUUAAUAACAGGAAAUGAGACAUAGAAUAAAUUAAGUGAAAAAAGCCUUGGGCUUAAAAUAUAACACUGCAGAAGGGUUGGAAGUAGGACUUCUGUUUAAUAAUACAUCAGUGCCACUGUUUUGGUGAAGGUCAAUUCCAAAUAAUUCAUAAGGUAACUGGCACUGCACCCAGCUCAUCACCAUUUAAUUCUGCAAGUAAAGACGAGAAUGAACUCCUACA